RNAcentral lists this ribosomal RNA (253 nucleotides) under uncultured prokaryote. RNAcentral's name for it is "partial 16S ribosomal RNA". It matches the Rfam family "Bacterial small subunit ribosomal RNA", at positions 525 to 777 of the family's 1533-position model. The record is from RNAcentral.
ACGAGGGGGGCAAGCGUUGUUCGGAAUUAUUGGGCGUAAAGGGCGCGUAGGCGGUGCGGUAAGUCACCUGUGAAAUCUCCGGGCUUAACUCGGAGCCUGCAGGCGAAACUGCCGUGCUUGAGUGUGGGAGAGGUGCGUGGAAUUCCCGGUGUAGCGGUGAAAUGCGUAGAUAUCGGAAGGAACAUCAGUGGCGAAAGCGGCUUCCUGGACCAGCACCGACGUUCAGGCACGAAAGCGUGGGGAGCAAACAGGA